Molecule: ribosomal RNA, 78 nt
Filed under: Streptococcus suis
Lineage: Bacteria; Bacillati; Bacillota; Bacilli; Lactobacillales; Streptococcaceae
Description: partial 16S ribosomal RNA
Rfam family: Bacterial small subunit ribosomal RNA
Source: RNAcentral
UUUAAUGAGAGUUUGAUCCUGGCUCAGGACGAACGCUGGCGGCGUGCCUAAUACAUGCAAGUAGAACGCUGAAGUCUG